GAUUAAGUUAUUAAGGGCGCACGGUGGAUGCCUUGGCACUAGAAGCCGAUGAAGGACGUUACUAACGACGAUAUGCUUUGGGGAGCUGUAAGUAAGCUGUAAUCCAGAGAUUUCCGAAUGGGGAAACCCAGCACGAGUUAUGUCGUGUUAUCGACAUGUGAAUAUAUAUCAUGUCUGAAGGCAUACCCGGAGAACUGAAACAUCUUAGUACCCGGAGGAAGAGAAAGAAAAAUCGAUUCCCUGAGUAGCGGCGAGCGAAACGGGAAGAGCCCAAACCAAUAAGCUUGCUUAUUGGGGUUGUAGGACACUCUAUACGGAGUUACAAAUGUAUAAAUUAGACGAAUUAUCUGGAAAGAUAAAUCAAAGAAGGUAAUAAUCCUGUAGUCGAAAAUUUAUACACUCUUGAGUGGAUCCUGAGUACGACGGAGCACGUGGAAUUCCGUCGGAAUCCGGGAGGACCAUCUCCCAAGGCUAAAUACUCUCUAGUGACCGAUAGUGAACCAGUACCGUGAGGGAAAGGUGAAAAGUACCCGGAAGGGGAGUGAAAGAGAACUUGAAACCGUGUGCUUACAAGUAGUCAGAGCCCGUUAAUGGGUGAUGGCGUGCCUUUUGUAGAAUGAACCGGCGAGUUACGAUCUGAUGCAAGGUUAAGCAGCAAAUGUGGAGCCGCAGCGAAAGCGAGUCUGAAUAGGGCGUUGAGUAUUUGGUCGUAGACCCGAAACCAGGUGAUCUACCCAUGACCAGGCUGAAGUUCAGGUAACACUGAAUGGAGGGCCGAACCGACUUACGUUGAAAAGUGAGCGGAUGAGUUGUGGGUAGCGGAGAAAUUCCAAUCGAACCUGGAGAUAGCUGGUUCUCUCCGAAAUAGCUUUAGGGCUAGCCUCAAGUGAUGAUUAUUGGAGGUAGAGCACUGUUUGGACGAGGGCCCUUCUCGGGUUACCGAAUUCAGACAAACUCCGAAUGCCAAUCAAUUUAACUUGGGAGUCAGAACAUGGGUGAUAAGGUCCGUGUUCGAAAGGGAAACAGCCCAGACCACCAGCUAAGGUCCCAAAAUAUAUGUUAAGUGGAAAAGGAUGUGGCGUUGCCCAGACAACUAGGAUGUUGGCUUAGAAGCAGCCAUCAUUUAAAGAGUGCGUAAUAGCUCACUAGUCGAGUGACACUGCGCCGAAAAUGUACCGGGGCUAAACAUAUUACCGAAGCUGUGGAUUGUCCGUAGGACAAUGGUAGGAGAGCGUUCUAAGGGCGUUGAAGCAUGAUCGCAAGGACAUGUGGAGCGCUUAGAAGUGAGAAUGCCGGUGUGAGUAGCGAAAGACGGGUGAGAAUCCCGUCCACCGAUUGACUAAGGUUUCCAGAGGAAGGCUCGUCCGCUCUGGGUUAGUCGGGACCUAAGCUGAGGCCGAAAGGCGUAGGCGAUGGACAACAGGUUGAUAUUCCUGUACCACCUCAAUUCGUUUUAAGCGAUGGGGGACGCAGUAGGAUAGGCGAAGCGUACGAUUGGAUUGUACGUCCAAGCAGUAAGACUGAGUAUUAGGCAAAUCCGGUACUCGUAAGGUCAAGCUGUGAUGGGGAGAGGAAUUUAUUCCUCGAGUCGUUGAUUUCACACUGCCAAGAAAAUCCUCUAGCUAGAAUUAUGGUGCCCGUACCGCAAACCGACACAGGUAGUCAAGAUGAGAAUUCUAAGGUGAGCGAGCGAACUCUCGUUAAGGAACUCGGCAAAAUGACCCCGUAACUUCGGGAGAAGGGGUGCUUUCUAGGGUUCACGCCCAGGAAAGCCGCAGUGAAUAGGCCCAAGCGACUGUUUAUCAAAAACACAGGUCUCUGCUAAACCGUAAGGUGAUGUAUAGGGGCUGACGCCUGCCCGGUGCUGGAAGGUUAAGAGGAGUGGUUAGCUUCUGCGAAGCUACGAAUCGAAGCCCCAGUAAACGGCGGCCGUAACUAUAACGGUCCUAAGGUAGCGAAAUUCCUUGUCGGGUAAGUUCCGACCCGCACGAAAGGCGUAACGAUUUGGGCACUGUCUCAACGAGAGACUCGGUGAAAUCAUAGUACCUGUGAAGAUGCAGGUUACCCGCGACAGGACGGAAAGACCCCGUGGAGCUUUACUGUAGUCUGAUAUUGAAAUUCGGCACAGCUUGUACAGGAUAGGUAGGAGCCUUUGAUACGUGAGCGCUAGCUUACGUGGAGGCGUUGGUGGGAUACUACCCUCGCUGUGUUGGAUUUCUAACCCGCACCAUUGAUCAUGGUGGGAGACAGUGUCAGAUGGACAGUUUGACUGGGGCGGUCGCCUCCUAAAGAGUAACGGAGGCGCUCAAAGGUUCCCUCAGAAUGGUUGGAAAUCAUUCACAGAGUGUAAAGGCAUAAGGGAGCUUGACUGCGAGACUUACAAGUCGAGCAGGGUCGAAAGACGGACUUAGUGAUCCGGUGGUUCCGCAUGGAAGGGCCAUCGCUCAACGGAUAAAAGCUACCCCGGGGAUAACAGGCUUAUCUCCCCCAAGAGUUCACAUCGACGGGGAGGUUUGGCACCUCGAUGUCGGCUCAUCGCAUCCUGGGGCUGUAGUCGGUCCCAAGGGUUGGGCUGUUCGCCCAUUAAAGCGGUACGCGAGCUGGGUUCAGAACGUCGUGAGACAGUUCGGUCCCUAUCCGUCGUGGGCGUAGGAAAUUUGAGAGGAGCUGUCCUUAGUACGAGAGGACCGGGAUGGACAUACCUCUGGUGUACCAGUUGUCGUGCCAACGGCAUCGCUGGGUAGCUAUGUAUGGACGGGAUAAGUGCUGAAAGCAUCUAAGCAUGAAGCCCCCCUCAAGAUGAGAUUUCCCAACUUCGGUUAUAAGAUCCUCAAAGAUGAUGAGGUUAAUAGGUUCGAGGUGGAAGCAUAGUGAUAUGUGGAGCUGACGAAUACUAAUCGAUCGAAGACUUAAUCAA
Molecule: ribosomal RNA, 2917 nt
Filed under: Staphylococcus arlettae
Lineage: Bacteria; Bacillati; Bacillota; Bacilli; Caryophanales; Staphylococcaceae
Description: 23S ribosomal RNA
Rfam family: Bacterial large subunit ribosomal RNA
Source: RNAcentral